GUGCCAGCAGCCGCGGUAAUACGGAAGGUCCGGGCGUUAUCCGGAUUUAUUGGGUUUAAAGGGAGCGCAGGCCGGCGGUUAAGCGUGCUGUGAAAUGUGGGGGCUCAACCUCGGCAGUGCAGCGCGGACUGGCCGUCUUGAGUGUGCGGUAGGAAGGCGGAAUUCGUGGUGUAGCGGUGAAAUGCUUAGAUAUCACGAGGAACUCCGAUUGCGAAGGCAGCUUUCCGCAGCAUUACUGACGCUGAGGCUCGAAGGUGCGGGUAUCGAACAGGAUUAGAUACCCUGGUAGUCCGCACGGUAAACGAUGGAUGCCCGCUGUGCGCCGUUCAGGUGCGCGGCCAAGCGAAAGCGUUAAGCAUCCCACCUGGGGAGUACGCCGGCAACGGUGAAACUCAAAGGAAUUGACGGGGGCCCGCACAAGCGGAGGAACAUGUGGUUUAAUUCGAUGAUACGCGAGGAACCUUACCCGGGCUUGAAUUGCCCGCGUCGGCGCCGGAGACGGCGUCUCCCUUCGGGGCGCGGGUGAAGGUGCUGCAUGGUUGUCGUCAGCUCGUGCCGUGAGGUGUCGGCUUAAGUGCCAUAACGAGCGCAACCCCUCUCCGCAGUUGCCAUCGGGUCAUGCCGGGCACUCUGCGGACACUGCCACCGCAAGGUGUGAGGAAGGUGGGGACGACGUCAAAUCAGCACGGCCCUUACGUCCGGGGCUACACACGUGUUACAAUGGGGCAUACAGAGAGCUGGCGGCCGGCGACGUCCGCCGAAUCAUGAAAGUGUCCCUCAGUUCGGACUGGGGUCUGCAACCCGACCCCACGAAGCUGGAUUCGCUAGUAAUCGCGCAUCAGCCAUGGCGCGGUGAAUACGUUCCCGGGCCUUGUACACACCGCCCGU
RNAcentral lists this ribosomal RNA (888 nucleotides) under uncultured bacterium. RNAcentral describes it as "bacterial SSU rRNA". It matches the Rfam family "Bacterial small subunit ribosomal RNA", at positions 505 to 1397 of the family's 1533-position model. The record is from RNAcentral.